CUAGCCAGGGACCAGAUGGCAGGGAACUCAGGGAGAAGUCAUGGGUUAGGGGGGCUUUGCUAAAUGGGAUGUUUACUAGAGUGCAUUCCUCUCAUCAUAUCGCCAUAUCGAGGCGCCACCGGCCCCGAGCACAUUUGGAAAUUACAAUCUCAUUACAAAAAGCAACGGUUUGUUUUCUGCCUGCAAAACUACUGGCAGGAACUACAAUAACUACAGGCCUUCAUCUGCAAACCCCAGUCCUGAUCUAAGCCCAGCAUCAUUUCUGACCUCUCUAACCUGCACCAUCAGAGCCAGUCCCAGGUACAUGGUUCUCCAGAACGGCUCUUUAAAACAUUGCAUCCUCUCUGGGAAACGAACAAGGGGUAGUGGAAAGGGAGAGCUCUGGUAAAUGGAAGGCAGCCCGGAACUCAACCCCGCUGGGAGCAGGGCAGAUCCCCACUUCUCCCAUGGGGACCAGGGGAGGAGACCCAGGGCAGAUUACCAGAUCUCUCUACUGAAUAAACUAGUAAGCAGAGGGCCCCGGUGUCCCUGAAAUCACAGGUAAAGAGAUAUUGAUGGCCUACCAAUACGGAAGCACUCCACAAGAACAACUUGGCAGAGGUCCGUCCACAGAUGAAACUCUUAAGAUGAAAAGCCGAUGGAAAACCUUGCAGAGGUGGCUAGCAGCUGAUCCCACAUGAACCCAUGGCUCAAGCUCAGCAUCAUCCCCCAGGAGGGGCCAACCAGCCUUCCUGAUGUGAGAACACAGAAGAACUGUCUAAAAAACAUUCUAGAGGGGGGUGAGGGGGAACUCAGAAGGUGAUCCAGCCUUACUUCUAUUUCAUGCAAAAUACAAGGGGACCGAAGAACACGCUAGAUGAAAUUCAAAUGAAGCAGACAGAACGUGGGGGCACUCUAGAGCCCAACAGAUGAGUGUCUUUGACAAGGAAGGGCAUCAGAAAGUGGGGAGGCAUAGGGCUGGCUGUCGAUGAAAACAGACAUCAGGGGCCUAACGGACAACUACACACCAAAACCAUGCUGGGAUCCUAUUCCAACCGAACAUUCUGUAAACCCUCAGGGAUCUCUGAGUACGGACUUGGUAUUAGGUGAUACCAAGGAAGUGUUCACUUUGUUCAGGGGGACGCUGGCAUUGAGGUGAUGUAGGAACUGGAGCUUAUUCUUCUGCACACGGAAGGCAAAUCGACGUGAGAUCUAGGAUCUGCUUCCAAAGACUUAUGCCAAAAGCCCUUGCUGACUACAGAAUCUGGUGAUGGGCAAAAGGGGGUGAUAGGGAUUCAUCACGCUACUCUCGCUACACACGUAUGUUUGAAAUUCCCCAGGAUUACAAAAUAAAAAUAAAACUCUA
Canis lupus familiaris (dog) is the source of this 1345-nucleotide long non-coding RNA. RefSeq lists it as uncharacterized. The transcript is spliced from 5 exons. NCBI's taxonomy places the organism in Eukaryota, Metazoa, Chordata, Mammalia, Carnivora, Canidae. The record is from RefSeq and is a predicted model, not a curated record.